UACGGAGGGUGCAAGCGUUGUCCGGAUUUAUUGGGUUUAAAGGGUGCGUAGGCGGCUAUUUAAGUCAGUGGUGAAAUCCUGCAGCUCAACUGUAGAAUUGCCAUUGAUACUGGAUAGCUUGAGUACAGACGAGGUAGGCGGAAUUUAUGGUGUAGCGGUGAAAUGCAUAGAUACCAUAAAGAACCCCUAUUGCGAGGCAGCUUACUAGGCUGUAACUGACGCUGAGGCACGAAAGCGUGGGGAUCAAACAGG
This 252-nucleotide ribosomal RNA is filed under the name uncultured bacterium. Its description in RNAcentral is "partial 16S ribosomal RNA". It matches the Rfam family "Bacterial small subunit ribosomal RNA", at positions 524 to 776 of the family's 1533-position model. The record is from RNAcentral.